Molecule: long non-coding RNA, 357 nt
Filed under: Phoenix dactylifera (date palm)
Lineage: Eukaryota; Viridiplantae; Streptophyta; Magnoliopsida; Arecales; Arecaceae
Description: long non-coding RNA (PDAC_LNC014692)
Source: RNAcentral
AUAGUAGGAGUUUUGCCAUUUAAAAAAAAUGGACAGUUUAUUCCAACUUUUGGCUUAUUCUAAUAUUUUGGAUAACCAAACAAAUUUGGCAUAAACACAUGGUAUCAAGGUUUGUCGUACUAAUAGAUACCGUAUUGUACCGGAUAUAUUGUACCGUAUCAGCCGUACUGUACUAGACCGGUAUGCAAUCUUGUAUCAUAUGGAUACUCGAUAUGCCUUACUAUCUUGUACUAUACCGCAUACCGAUACUAUAAUAGGAUGGUACUGGUAUAGAAUCCGGUACCAAGGCGGCGAACCUUUCCUGUCAUAGCUAUGCCACUUAGCAUGACUUUCCUCGUUCCCAUUUUCCUUGUGCUC